CUAGCCGUAAACGAUGGGUACUAGGUGUAGGUGGUUUCGAUACCAUCUGUGCCGGAGUUAACGCAAUAAGUACCCCGCCUGGGGAGUACGUGCGCAAGCAUGAAACUCAAAGGAAUUGACGGGGGCCCGCACAAGCGGUGGAGCAUGUGGUUUAAUUCGAAGCAACGCGAAGAACCUUACCAGGCCUUGACAUCCCCUGACCGUCAUGGAAACAUGGCUUCUCUUCGGAGCAGGGAGACAGGUGG
Molecule: ribosomal RNA, 245 nt
Filed under: uncultured Selenomonadales bacterium
Lineage: Bacteria; Bacillati; Bacillota; Negativicutes; Selenomonadales
Description: partial 16S ribosomal RNA
Rfam family: Bacterial small subunit ribosomal RNA
Source: RNAcentral